CCUUUAGAGUUUGAUCCUGGCUCAGGACGAACGCUGGCGGCGUGCUUAACACAUGCAAGUCGAACGAUGAAGCCGCUUCGGUGGUGGAUUAGUGGCGAACGGGUGAGUAACACGUGGGCAAUCUGCCCUUCACUCUGGGACAAGCCCUGGAAACGGGGUCUAAUACCGGAUACCACUCUGUCCCGCAUGGGACGGGGUUGAAAGCUCCGGCGGUGAAGGAUGAGCCCGCGGCCUAUCAGCUUGUUGGUGGGGUAAUGGCCUACCAAGGCGACGACGGGUAGCCGGCCUGAGAGGGCGACCGGCCACACUGGGACUGAGACACGGCCCAGACUCCUACGGGAGGCAGCAGUGGGGAAUAUUGCACAAUGGGCGAAAGCCUGAUGCAGCGACGCCGCGUGAGGGAUGACGGCCUUCGGGUUGUAAACCUCUUUCAGCAGGGAAGAAGCGCAA
Molecule: ribosomal RNA, 450 nt
Filed under: Streptomyces sp. 2LD4
Lineage: Bacteria; Bacillati; Actinomycetota; Actinomycetes; Kitasatosporales; Streptomycetaceae
Description: bacterial SSU rRNA
Rfam family: Bacterial small subunit ribosomal RNA
Source: RNAcentral